UGGGGAAUAUUGGACAAUGGGGGAAACCCUGAUCCAGCAAUGCCGCGUGAAUGAUGAAGGCCUUAGGGUUGUAAAGUUCUUUCACCUGUGACGAUAAUGACGGUAGCAGGAUAAGAAGCCCCGGCUAACUCCGUGC
RNAcentral lists this ribosomal RNA (136 nucleotides) under uncultured bacterium. Its description in RNAcentral is "partial 16S ribosomal RNA". It matches the Rfam family "Bacterial small subunit ribosomal RNA", at positions 355 to 508 of the family's 1533-position model. The record is from RNAcentral.